UAAAAAAUCCUAUCACGUCUCCUGUC
This 26-nucleotide non-coding RNA is filed under the name Cricetulus griseus (Chinese hamster). Lineage: Eukaryota; Metazoa; Chordata; Mammalia; Rodentia; Cricetidae. The record is from RNAcentral.